Molecule: non-coding RNA, 29 nt
Filed under: Mus musculus (house mouse)
Lineage: Eukaryota; Metazoa; Chordata; Mammalia; Rodentia; Muridae
Source: RNAcentral
UGAUAAGUAGAGAAUCACAAGGUAGACCU